Xiphophorus hellerii (green swordtail) is the source of this 810-nucleotide long non-coding RNA. RefSeq lists it as uncharacterized. The transcript has 3 exons. Lineage: Eukaryota; Metazoa; Chordata; Actinopteri; Cyprinodontiformes; Poeciliidae. The record is from RefSeq and is a predicted model, not a curated record.
UUUCCUUUUUGCUGCUGUUUCAUCCCUUAUCCACCAGAUGGCGUCUACAGGCGGAGGUUUCUCUGGAGGGAUGGGCCUUGGUUCAGCGCACCGGUGUUUAAUCACCUCUUCAGUCAUGGAGCUUAAGAGGAGCGGACUACCAGUACUUCGUCGCUUGAGUGUUAGCCUAUAUGCUAUUCCUUCGUGACGCCAAGCGGCCUCCUUGAAGAAUCCUUCCUGGUUUGACUCACCUCGAGACACCACCUACCCACGGGUUGCCCGAGCCCCGUUUCCGUUCCUUCGGCCGGAUCUCAAAGCCUCUUCCGGAUUAUUCGGCGGAUUGUGGAUCCGCUCCUCGUCUGUCCUCCACCACAGAAAACACUGGCCCGCUCUCUGCCGCAGCCUCCUCCGAUCCUCCUGGAUGCCACUCGAACAUACUGAAAGCCAAGACCCGGUAUCCACCGGAGUGCCUCCAGGACUGUCAUCAUCAUUUUCCCAAUGUGCCGGCCUCCCCCAGAAGCCCUCCCCUGACAGUUCGUCGUUCUACCCACCGAACCUGUGUUUACAUUAAUAAACUAUAUUUUGCUGAUCUCUGUUCUCCAGUGGUGUUCUGCAUGUGGUUAAGAAAAUUAGACCUCACCAUGACACACCAUACCAUUUAUUUUUAAUGCGCGUCAAAUUGCACCAAAAGUUUCAUGCGUGCUCGUGGAGCUGAAGAGGCAGAAUAAACUUAUAGAAAACAUGCUCCUGUAACACCAGUAACUCUCUUUAACAUUAAGGCAGAAGUGGAAAUUAAAGGCGAAACAUAAUUUAUACUGAAGGUAAAGUUUA